UUCCGGUUGAUCCCGCCAGAGGCCACUGCUAUCAGAGUUCGAUUAAGCCAUGCGAGUCGAGAGGUGCAAGACCUCGGCAUACUGCUCAGUAACACGUGGACAAUCUAACCUACGGAAGGGGAUAACCCCGGGAAACUGGGGAUAAUACCCUAUAGACUAUGGAUGCUGGAAUGCUCUGUAGCCGAAAGGUCCGCCGCCGUAGGAUGGGUCUGCGGCCGAUUAGGUUGUUGUUGGGGUAACGACCCAACAAGCCUGUAAUCGGUACGGGUUGUGGGAGCAAGAGCCCGGAGAUGGAUUCUGAGACACGAAUCCAGGCCCUACGGGGCGCAGCAGGCGCGAAAACUCUACAAUGCGGGAAACCGUGAUAAGGGAACUCUGAGUGCCCGUAAAAUCAGGCUGUCCAUCAGUUUAAAAAACUGGUGAGGAAAGGGCCGGGCAAGACCGGUGCCAGCCGCCGCGGUAAUAC
Molecule: ribosomal RNA, 466 nt
Filed under: uncultured Methanomicrobiales archaeon
Lineage: Archaea; Methanobacteriati; Methanobacteriota; Methanomicrobia; Methanomicrobiales
Description: bacterial SSU rRNA
Rfam family: Archaeal small subunit ribosomal RNA
Source: RNAcentral